UGCAAGUGUUAUCCGGAAUCACUGGGCGUAAAGCGUCUGUAGGUGGUUUGCUAAGUCCGCUGUUAAAGCUUGAAGCUCAACUUCGAAAAUGCAGUGGAAACUAGUAGACUUGAGUGUGGUAGGGGUAGAGGGAAUUUCCAGUGAAGUGGUGAAAUGCGUAGAUAUUGGAAAGACCACCAAUGGCGAAGGCACUCUACUGGGCCACAACUGACACUGAGAGACGAAAGCUAGGGGAGCAAAUGGG
RNAcentral lists this ribosomal RNA (244 nucleotides) under uncultured bacterium. Its description in RNAcentral is "partial 16S ribosomal RNA". It matches the Rfam family "Bacterial small subunit ribosomal RNA", at positions 533 to 776 of the family's 1533-position model. The record is from RNAcentral.